UACGUAGGGUGCAAGCGUUAAUCGGAAUUACUGGGCGUAAAGCGUGCGCAGGCGGUUCGCUAAGACCGAUGUGAAAUCCCCGGGCUUAACCUGGGAACUGCACUGGUGACUGGCGGGCUAGAGUAUGGCAGAGGGGGGUAGAAUUCCACGUGUAGCAGUGAAAUGCGUAGAGAUGUGGAGGAAUACCGAUGGCGAAGGCAGCCCCCUGGGCCAAUACUGACGCUCAUGCACGAAAGCGUGGGGAGCAAACAGG
Molecule: ribosomal RNA, 253 nt
Filed under: uncultured bacterium
Lineage: Bacteria
Description: partial 16S ribosomal RNA
Rfam family: Bacterial small subunit ribosomal RNA
Source: RNAcentral